AGGAUGAACGCUGGCGGCGUGCUUAACACAUGCAAGUCGAACGGUGAAGCAGGAGCUUGCUCCUGUGGAUCAGUGGCGAACGGGUGAGUAACACGUGAGAAAUCUGCCCUGGACUCUGGGAUACGCGUUGGAAACGACGUCUAA
RNAcentral lists this ribosomal RNA (144 nucleotides) under uncultured soil bacterium. RNAcentral's name for it is "partial 16S ribosomal RNA". It matches the Rfam family "Bacterial small subunit ribosomal RNA", at positions 26 to 166 of the family's 1533-position model. The record is from RNAcentral.